UACGUAGGGUGCAAGCGUUAAUCGGAAUUACUGGGCGUAAAGCGUGCGCAGGCGGUUGUGCAAGACAGAUGUGAAAUCCCCGGGCUUAACCUGGGAACUGCAUUUGUGACUGCACGGCUAGAGUGUGUCAGAGGGGGGUAGAAUUCCACGUGUAGCAGUGAAAUGCGUAGAUAUGUGGAGGAAUACCGAUGGCGAAGGCAACCCCCUGGGAUAACACUGACGCUCAUGCACGAAAGCGUGGGGAGCAAACAGG
RNAcentral lists this ribosomal RNA (253 nucleotides) under uncultured bacterium. RNAcentral describes it as "partial 16S ribosomal RNA". It matches the Rfam family "Bacterial small subunit ribosomal RNA", at positions 524 to 776 of the family's 1533-position model. The record is from RNAcentral.